AGGAGAACCACACCCUUCUCAUGGCUCUGUCCACAUGGCUUCACCCACCUGGGAAUUUGCAUAUUGUCCCCUAGGGAGGAUCCUUCCUUGCAGGUCUGAGGUAAAAGGUCAGCUCAAACAUUGCUUGGACUUACCAAGCCUCAUCUGUUCAACUGCUCAGAAUGAGAUUUCCUGCUCAGCUCCUGGGGCUGCUGAUGCUCUGGGUCCCAGGAUCCAGUGGGGAGAUCGUGCUGACACAGACCCCAUUCUCGCUGUCUGUCACCCCUGGAGAGCCAGCCUCCAUCUCCUGCAGAGCCAGUAAGAGCCUCCUGAACAGUAAUGGAAUGAACUAUUUGCAUUGGUACCUGUAGAAGCCAGGCCAGUCUCCACAGAUCCUGAUCUACUUGGCCUCCAACCGUUACCCUGGGGUCCCAUAUAGGUUCAGUGGUAGCGGGUCAGGGACAGAUUUCACCCUGACAAUCAGCAGGGUGGAGGCUGAUGAUGUGGGAAUUUAUUACUGCCUGCAAAGUUUAGAAUUUCCUCCAACAGUGGUUCAGCCCCGAACACAAACCUCCUGCUUGGGGUGGCCCAGCUGCCCACAUGAGAUGUUGGUCUGAAGAGCAGCCAUAGCAGAUUCUCUGUGUCUGUGCAAGAGAACCAUGUUGGAGACUCAGGAGAGCAGGUGUAUGUGUAUGAGGAUGAGCACUUCACCUCCACAUCAGGCAUCAUGUGUUAAGGCCCCGUCCGUGGCAACAGCCUUGUUUGGAAGAACCAGCCAUGGAGUUGGGGGCCCAUGUGCCUCCUGAAUGACCAGCCGUGACCCUUGGGGGAGCUGAGGGAAAGCUCACCCUAUUUCUUCCUGUCUUGCCUACAAUUUAUAUUUAUUCACAUGAAAAUAAAAUAUUUUAAAAACAAGACGAAAUCAGAGAGGGAGAGAAACCAUCAGAGACUUUUAAUCCUAGGAAACAAACUGAGGAUUGUGGGAGGGGAGGUGGCGGGAUGGGCUAAUGCGGUGCUGGACAAUAAGGAAGGCGGGUGAUGUAAUGAAAUCUGGGUAUUAUAUAAGAGUGAAGAAUCACAGGCCUCUACCUCUGAAACCAAUAAUAC
RNAcentral lists this long non-coding RNA (1086 nucleotides) under Mustela putorius furo (domestic ferret). RNAcentral describes it as "lncRNA (ENSMPUG00000028473.1)". Lineage: Eukaryota; Metazoa; Chordata; Mammalia; Carnivora; Mustelidae. The record is from RNAcentral.